Molecule: non-coding RNA, 45 nt
Organism: Echinostoma caproni
Lineage: Eukaryota; Metazoa; Platyhelminthes; Trematoda; Plagiorchiida; Echinostomatidae
Source: Rfam
GCACUACUGACGAGUCCCAAACAGGACGAAACAUGUGUUCAGUGC